This 329-nucleotide small nuclear RNA is filed under the name Nannospalax galili (Upper Galilee mountains blind mole rat). RNAcentral's name for it is "7SK RNA (ENSNGAG00000003154.1)". It matches the Rfam family "7SK RNA". From Rfam's summary of the family: 7SK was discovered as an abundant small nuclear RNA in the mid-70s but a possible function has only recently been suggested. Lineage: Eukaryota; Metazoa; Chordata; Mammalia; Rodentia; Spalacidae. The record is from RNAcentral.
GGUUGUGAGGGCAUUCUGACUGUGACGGCUGUCACCCCAUUAGACUUCUACAGUUGAUUUGGCUGAUCUGGCUGGUUAGGCAGUUGUCCCCUUCCUUCCUCCCUCACUGCUCUGUGUGCAUCCCUCCUGAAGCUGCACGUUCAGUCAAAGAACAGUACCUUCCCCAAUAAAAGAGGACUGGUCUUUGGUCAAGGGUGUGCAAGUAGCUGUGCUCCCCUGCUCGAACGUCCAAACAAACUGUCAGGCAUACCAGAUUAAAUAAUGGAUUAGGAAACUCUUAGUAUGAAAAAACUUUGAGAUUUAUAUUGAAAUAAAAGAAUUUUUCCUUU